Long non-coding RNA from Homo sapiens (human), 1010 nucleotides. RefSeq lists it as uncharacterized. The transcript has 3 exons. The record is from RefSeq and is a predicted model, not a curated record. NCBI's taxonomy places the organism in Eukaryota, Metazoa, Chordata, Mammalia, Primates, Hominidae.
CAACAGCAAUUACUUUUGCACUACCCUAAUAGUAAACUAAUUUCUUAUUGACGAAAGAAAAAUAUUUUUAAGUAAAUUUAGUGAAGCUAAGUGUACGGUGUUUAUUAAGUCUACAGUAGGAUACAGUGACGUCCUAGGCCACUCACCACUCACUCCCUGACUCACCCAGACCAAUUACUAGUCCUGGAAGCUCCACUCAUGGUAAGAGUCACAUCUCUCGGUCGUUCUCAGCAGUUUCCAGAGAGACUCAAGCUGUUGCCAGGGAGCAUCCAGCAGACGGGAAGACAGAUGAUGCUGGAGACUGAGGAGCGACCUGCUGGAAGGAGAACAGUCCUUGGGGCGGAAUUCUGAGUGGGAUCCAACACAUUCAACAGCCGAUUGUGGAAUGAACAAACAACAGCUCAGCGCUUCCUUCUCCAAUGGGAUUAACUCUGCUUUCUCCUGCCCAGAGGGGGGGUUGGCCGCAGAGGAGCCAGGACAGUGCUCUGUCCCCUGUGUUCCAGUCCACAUCCCCCUCACCCCCGCCUGUCCUCAUGGUCUACGUGCCCAUGGGGAUACACUGGCCUGUGCAUUGCUUCCUGCUGGGUCUCAGACUCGGGGCUGUGGCAGAUGGGGACAGGGCCUGUCCUGGCACCAUCUGCCAAUUCCCUUUGUACUCCCAGUCCAUGAGGAAGUUGACUCUGCCCUGAAAACGACUGUUCCUGUGGUCCAUAAACAAAGGAAUGGUGAGCCAGGCAUGAGCUGUGGGCCCCAGGGGUGGGGCUGGGGGUCACCGUAGCAGAGGUAGCUGAGACUGUGGGAGGGAGGCUGGUGCCUCCUUGGUCCCCCUGAGGAUUUCAUGCCUGAUUUCUGGCACUGCCCAGCCUCUGCUCCAACCUCUCUGGAGGCAAAGGAGGUAACAGGAGGGCACAAGGCCAGGAAGUGUCAUUGGGAGCAAGGAAGGCGGCUGGUGGGCUAGCAGGAAAUGGGAUGGUCUGUGAGACCAGAUUAGUAGCAGAGGAGGAAGCAAC